This 60-nucleotide transfer RNA is filed under the name Dorcopsis hageni (White-striped Dorcopsis). Its description in RNAcentral is "tRNA-Ser". The record is from RNAcentral. Lineage: Eukaryota; Metazoa; Chordata; Mammalia; Diprotodontia; Macropodidae.
GAGAAAGUCCCAAGAACUGCUAACUCUUGAACUCCAUACCUAACCACUAUGGCUUUCUUA